RNAcentral lists this ribosomal RNA (492 nucleotides) under uncultured bacterium. RNAcentral's name for it is "partial 16S ribosomal RNA". It matches the Rfam family "Bacterial small subunit ribosomal RNA", at positions 29 to 507 of the family's 1533-position model. The record is from RNAcentral.
AGUGAACGCUGGCGGUAGGCCUAACACAUGCAAGUCGAACGGCAGCACAGUAAGAGCUUGCUCUUACGGGUGGCGAGUGGCGGACGGGUGAGGAAUACAUCGGAAUCUACUUUUUCGUGGGGGAUAACGUAAGGAAACUUACGCUAAUACCGCAUACGACCUACGGGUGAAAGCAGGGGAUCUUCGGACCUUGCGCGAUUGAAUGAGCCGAUGUCGGAUUAGCUAGUUGGCGGGGUGAAGGCCCACCAAGGCGACGAUCCGUAGCUGGUCUGAGAGGAUGAUCAGCCACACUGGAACUGAGACACGGUCCAGACUCCUACGGGAGGCAGCAGUGGGGAAUAUUGGACAAUGGGCGCAAGCCUGAUCCAGCCAUACCGCGUGGGUGAAGAAGGCCUUCGGGUUGUAAAGCCCUUUUGUUGGGAAAGAAAAGCAGCAGGUUAAUACCCCGCUGUUCUGACGGUACCCAAAGAAUAAGCACCGGCUAACUUCGUG